UACGUAGGGUGCGAGCGUUAAUCGGAAUUACUGGGCGUAAAGCGUGCGUAGGCGGUCCGCAAAGUCUGAUGUGAAAGCCCCGGGCUCAACCUGGGAACUGCAUUGGAAACUAACGGGCUCGAGUGUGGCAGAGGGGGGUGGAAUUCCAUGUGUAGCAGUGAAAUGCGUAGAGAUGUGGAGGAACACCGAUGGCGAAGGCAGCCCCCUGGGCUAACACUGACGCUCAGGCACGAAAGCGUGGGGAGCAAACAGG
Molecule: ribosomal RNA, 253 nt
Filed under: uncultured bacterium
Lineage: Bacteria
Description: partial 16S ribosomal RNA
Rfam family: Bacterial small subunit ribosomal RNA
Source: RNAcentral